UGGUAUUAGCCUACGUGGCAUUUUUCUCAAUAGGGAUGGGCCCCAUCACAUGGGUGUAUAGUUCUGAGAUCUUUCCGUUGAGGCUACGCGCUCAAGGCACGAGUAUGGGAGUGGCUGUGAACAGAUUAACAAGUGGGGUCAUAUCGACGACUUUUAUUUCACUGUACAAAGGAAUAACAAUGGGAGGGGCGUUUUUUCUGUUCGCGGCUAUAGCAACGGUAGCGUGGACCUUCUUUUUUACAUGUUUGCCCGAGACACGAGGAAGGACAUUGGAGGAUAUGGAGGUCCUUUUUGGUAGUUUCAUUAAUUGGAGGUCUGCUUUGAAGGAGGAUAGCUUGAAGAAGAAAGCAGCUAGUAGUGAAAAUAAUGGUCAGAUUCAGUUGGGUACUGCUACUAACACUACUGUUACUAAAGCUUAGUUGAAGGAUAUUUUGGUAAAUCUACCUACUUGAUGAAAUGUUAGAUUAGUGUUUUUUUUUUUUUUUUUUUUUUUUUUUUUUUUUUUUUUUUUUUUAUGCUUGUUCUUACCUUAGUUGGGUGAGAUUCAGCCAAGUAAUGUUUGAAAUAUGAAAAUAUGGAAAGCUUGUAUGCAAGAAAAAGAAAUCCAACAAAAAAUCAAUUAAGAAGAAAGAGAUAUUAUUCUGUAUAUUUUUAAAAUCAAAUCAAAUCAAAUAAUAUAUCGAAUCAAUUCAGUUCAUUUGAGCUAAUUUGGUUGAUUUUUUAGUCGUUGUACAACUAUUUUAAGUAUAUAUUUUAGGUUUAUAAAUCAAAUUGAAUCGAAAAUUUUUAAUUUUUUAAUGAAAACUUAAAUCGAAUCAUAAAUAUUACUCCCUCAAUUCCACAUAUCAUUUUACCUUGUUCUACUUUUGUAAUAAUAUUAAAUGGGAAAAUUUUAAUUUUAAGAAGUGCGAUGUUAACAUUUCAUAAUGUAUUUUUAAAAAAUUAAUAUGUUCCGAUCAUUGUUUUAAUUCUUAUAAAAAGAUCAAAUGCUGUUAUUAAAGUGAAAUGGAGGAGGUAAAGAUUAAAUCAAAUUGAUUUAAUUCGAUAAUUUUAAUUGAUUUAAUCAAAAUAUGAACAGAUGGCAAAGCAGAAUUAGUUGGAGGUGUAAUUUGAAAUCUAAAGUUCAUUGAUAAUCUAAUAAUUACCAAUAUAGGAAAAUUUUAAUUAUGUUGUACACUUUUCUAAUCAACUCAAACAAACAUAUUUAAAAGAUGUCAUUUAUCAAUUAUGUAUACUUUUCUUUAUUUAAGGAAAUUAUUACGUUAUGCUGAUGUAUGGAUGGUGUCAAAUAUAAAUUUUUCUUUUCAUUUUUACUAUAAAAGUGAAUUGUUUUGUAAUUUAUAUAUUUGCAUAAUCCAAAACAUAUGUACUUAUUUGACAUGCGUAUGAAAAAAGAAGAGAAAUCACACAAAUAACAUGUAAAUAAUGACGUAAAAGUAAAGACAACUCCAAUUAUUGGGGAGAAAGAAAAUGUUGUCCACAAAUAUGUGUUUGGUCGAAUCACAAGGAAACCAAAGUCUCUGCUAAAUUUUUUUUUUUUAAAAAAAAGAAAUUGUAGAUUUAUUUCCACCUCCUAUGCAUAAUUGUUUGAGACUGAGUUCGAAUUAAAAAGAGAGAAAAAAAAUUUUAACUUUGAAUUUGAUUUUUGUCCCUAGAUAUGCAAAUAACUUUUGUUUUUUCAUUCUUUUUAAACAGGUGGACCUUAGGCAUUUGGAGGUUGUGGAAAAACCGAAAAGGAUUUUUUUUUGCUUAUAAGUGGUGGUUGUUUAUAUUUUUAGGUUGUGUUCAGCAAUGGCUUCUUUAAUAGCUUUGCUAAACGUAAUUUUUUAUAGUGUUCAGUAAUAUAGCUUUUGAACUAGUUUUUAGAUAUUAAUAUAGCGUUUUUAUAAAAAGUUAACUCAUAUCAUAUUUAAUUUUCAGCAUUUCAUAAAAAAUUACUCAAAUAGCUAAUAACUAAAUGUUAUUAAAACAAUUAACAGCUAUCAAAAAACGCUAAUUUUAUUGAAUAAAUCCUUAACAUUCUUUACUAUUUCCUUUUUUCUUUUUCUAGUAUGUAUGACCAAAGGAUUUUGGUUUAUUGUAUGCAGGAGGUUGGCCAAUGGCCUACUUAGUUUGUUGCAAUUUGGAAGAAGUGGUCCAACAUUGGGUUGGAUCCGACUAGUAAAAUUACUUGUAAAUCGACUCUUUAAAAGGACCUUACAAUAUUUAUACUUGUACUUUUGUUUUUUUGUUUUCUUUCAAAUAUUUAAAAAAAAAAAUGUAAUUAAAUCUUGAUGUAGUUGUUUGCCAUUUGUGUCCUUAAUUCCACAUGGUAGGCACGUAGCAAAAUGGAAAGGUGGCUAAUGACUAUAAACAGUGUAAUAGAACAGAAAUGAAAUAUGAGAAUCAUGGAUGAAAAUGGAUAAGACAUAAUUUAAGUUAUUAGAUCAGAAUCCACUUGACAUAGUUCUUACUUGAUGUUUAAAUGGAAAAAAGAAAAGAGAAGAGAAAUGGAAAUAUGAAGGAGAUGGGGAGAGAGAGCAAGCAUGUGAGUCUUGUCUUGCAUCCAGGUGCUAUGGUCCAUGCAUAAUUAAAUAAUGUGUCUGAGAAUCUGACAACUCAUUAUAACUCAUCCUCGUUUGCUCAAAUCUCCAGAAAGAAGGGACCCCCAAAUUGCUAAUUAUAAUGAAUCCACUAGAGAACUUUAAGAGUGGGUACUCGUGUGAUUAGGCAUAACUUAUCUAUCAUCUCACCUAUUAACAGCCACCGACCAGAAUAUGAUGAAAUCACGCUUUAAGCAUAGAAAUAGAAUUAUCGAGCACUUGCCCGAUAAUUUGAUUGCAAUAAAUAAUAUAUUUAAAAUUCAACUUUUGGAUUAAUUUUAAUAAAAAUUUUUCAAUUAUGAAUUUUUAAUUGAUUAUUGCUUAAUCUUCUAAUUAGAGCUUCCUUUAAAAAUCAUUAUAAAAUUUAAUUUUUCAUUAUUCAUUCUAUAUAUCACUUAAAUUUUUUUUAAACAAACAAAUAUUAUUAUUACCAUAAUUGACCAAAAUACUAUUUAAUGCAUGGUUGGUAAUGAUACAAAAUAUAAUUGGAUUUUAGAACACAUUAAUGUUAGUCGAAAACACCGAUGAAUCAAGAACUUCAAGUGGAUCGGAAGUCUCCAUACUCUAUAGACAUAAUUUCCUUUUUUAUUUUAAAUUAAUGUGCAUAUACAAUCUCCUAUUUUUUCAAUAUAUUCAAAAAAUGAAAGUUAAACUCCGAUUUAUAUAAAUUCUCAUGUGCAAGUUACAAUAAAUAUAAAAAGAAUUGCACUAGAUCAUCAAUACCCUCGUCCCAGAAUUCAUAUCCUUGUCGUUGUCGGAGUGUUUGAUAUACAGUAAAUUCUUCCACAAAAAAUGAGCCACAACUCCACAGUUAACCUAUAAAAUUAGAAAAAAAGUUCAUGUUCUCUUUAGUUCAAGAGAGCCAGAAAAAUACCACUUAACGCAGAGAGAGAAUUUACAUUAACAAAUCCAAAACAGCCAGACUGUAACAUGUGAUGUGUGAUUGUUCUUCCAAGAAGCAGUGAAUUUUCAUUAAUAAACAAGGGGGAAUCCCACCACUAGUUUACAAACAAAGUGCCGUUUUUUUUUUUUUUUUACAGAUCUUUUACCUCAAAAGCUUUUUCCUUUUUCUAAGGUGGAAAUCCCUUGAAAAGAAUUACAGCUGUAAGACUGACAAAAGAAAAUUAAUACAAAAAUUACAAGCAAUCAUGUACAUUUAAUGUUAGAAGCUCUAUGAUAUUGGUUCUACUUCUCAAUGCCUUGCUGCAGAUAUUGUAUCAAGUCAUAGCCGGCAGUUGUCCACUUGUUGUAGGCGUCUGUGCACACGCGGAUCAUAAAAUUGGCAGCUUCACGCUCGCUCAUCUCAGGAUGAAAUCUCUUGCGUAGAUUUCCGAUUGGAUCACCCCUACUGAAGCAUGGUAAUCCGCUGUCUAACAUCAACAUCACGGUGUUGAUUAUCCCAUCCAUGUAACGACGGGCUGCAAGGUAACCCUUGACGCACAAGCUGCGGAUCAUAAGAAGAGAAUCAAGAACUCAGCUUCGAAAAAUAUUGACCGAUAAAUGCAUACACAAUAAUAAAAAUGCAGAGCGUAUUUUACCUUACAAAUUGGUUCCAGGUUUCACUCUUCAUAACACCAGAAGGAUCUAAUAGUUGGGUCAUCUCAUGGCUCAGCUUGAAGUGUGCGCUUUCGAAUCUCAUAUUUCCACCAGGUGAUAUUUCAAAAAUGAAACCAAAAUCAAUAUGAACUAGCCUCCCAUCACUGCAUUGACAUUUAUGUUAAGAGUCAAAUUCUUAAUAUUUCUUUUCUUUACAUUUUUCUUUUUUCCUGAAAACCCCAUAGCUAUCAUGUUUUUAAAGAAAAAAUAGUUGGAAGAUUGUAAAAUCAAGGGAAACGAUCGGGCAAAAGAUCUCAUACCUAUCAAAAAGAAGAUUCCCAUUAUGUCUGUCCUUCGGCUGAAGCAAAAGACUGGCUACUGCAUAACCUGCACUGCUAACGAUAAAGUUUUCACGUGCAGUUUCAAAACUAGGAGAGCCUACAGGCCCAAAAUCCUGUUGAAAAAUCUCAAAUAAACCACCAUCUGUUGUUUCACCCAUUUGACUUCUGCUUCGCGAGUUAGGAACCACCUGUAUGAUUCAAGAAUAGAUACUAAGAAAGAUAGCAUGCAGAAUUUUGCAGGUGAUUCAUUUUGAACUAAAAGAUAUCAUUCUCAGAUACAUGGGGAGAUGAAAGGUCAAGAAUAUAUGGCAUUUUAUUUUUAUCCCCCAUUAUGUAAGAUAUAUUUGGAUCUUUUUGUUUCUUUGAACAUAAGCUUGUUAUAAAUUAGGCAAGAAGUUCAAUUAAUUUCAAGAAAAUUCAAAACAGAAAGCACCUCAUGGAUCAUGGGCAAGCCCAGAAUUCUCCAUAACUUCCCACACUGCGAAGAACUCAAGCGCAAAGGCUAAUGGUAGAUUGUAGUUCACAAGAACUGCUAUCUGUUAAUCUAACACAACACUAUCCAUGGCAGUGAUAACAUACAUGCAAAAUGCGCAUGCAUGCUUUAUCAGAAUCACCACAAACUUCUCUAUCAUUGGCAUUCUUAAUUUGCCAAACACUACUAAGUGUAUAACAUUUUCAAACAGGAAUAAAGUUACUGCGAGACUCUUCCAUAAUAAAAGAAAAAUAUCUAAAACAUUCUAAUACAAAUCACAAAAAAAAAAAAUGUUUGAGAGCACUCCAGUUAUUAAUUUCAGGCACUAGUCUAAUAUAAUCUAUAAUCAGGAACUUUAUGAUUAAUUGAUGUUUAGAGAUAUCAAACUUAUGAACCAAAAAGAACGAAAAGAAAUGAAACUUGAAUCAUAUACAAUCAUCCCGGAAUGGAACUUGCACUUUAAAGUUUAAAUAACCAUGUUACAUUUACAAACAUGGCUUGAAAAGAAAAUCACCUCAAUUCACACACAUAUGACAUAUCACACUAGUAAUCACCUCAAUUCCAUGUAUGCACCGUAUGGAUCCAUAUCCAAUAUAGCAAUGCCCUAGACACAAGCACACAUUUCAGUUUAAUGAUGAUGGAAAAUCAGAGCUCACCUCAAUAAUACCUCUCUCCGGGCCAGUUGGAAGAACUCCAUAAGGAAACAAAUAGAGAUUAAGUCCCACUGCUUGAAAUAUGUCUCUAAGUAAUGAUAUCACUUGAAGAGCAAGAACAUCUUGCCGACAAUCAUCACCGACCUUAAAAAAGGAAAAACACUUGUGAGAAUACAACUCAAUUUGGAAAAUAAAAAUUUCAAAUCCAGAAAAUUUAAUUUACAAAAUAUGACAUACAUCUCUUUAAAAAUCAGCAUUUUAUCUGUUUUAUUGAGAUUUUGUAGCACAGUUUUAGAAACUUCAAUGAAGUUACCAAAUCAGAAACCCAAAAUUAGUCGUGCGCAUUAUUUGGUUAUUAUCAAACAACUAAACCGAACCAACAAAUUGGCUUAUUUCAAUAAAGGAAAUACAGUUAUUGCAGUAACAGAAAAUUCAGUUUCCAAAUUAUCAGUUUAGACACCUAAAAAAUGAUAACCAAAAUAAUCAAUUAUCAUUAUUAACAUAUUUUUUUAGCAAUAUAUCAUUGUAAUUAUGUUCUUACAAAUAUAUAUAGUUGAUACUGAUCUGGAACGUUUCGAUUUUGUUAUCAGGUGUAUAUAGUUCAGUUCAGUUGGUAUCAAAUUCGUUUGACCCAAUUAAUGCUCAUUCGUGCUCAACCAUACCCAUCCUGUGCAUAAAUGUACCAUAAGAGAAUGUUUCAACAAGACCAUCUGUAAUUGAUACCUUUAAUGGAAACUAGAAUUACCAAUUAUAAGUAUUAAAUCCAAAAAUUUCAUUGCUAUAUAAUAAUAUUUCACUUGCAAAGAUAGGAUCCGACUAUAUUUGGACUUAAAUCUACCAACUAAAAUGAGGACAAUGGGAAUUUGGAAUAAGGAUUGGGAUUGUGUAUCAUUAUCAAAUAAUAGUCAAAUGAAGACCCCACUCGGGCCAAAAGAGAUCACUGAGAAAUAUCGUAUAUCCUGAUUGGACCAACCAUCUAGUUUAACUUAUGUAGAAUCAAUACUAUUUUGCAAUUUUCAAAUUCAAAAAAAAAAAAAAAAAAUUGUAUUUACACUAAUAAAUCAAAACUUGCACCUCAUUACAAGUCGAACUAUUUUCUGAAAAUGACAAGUAAAUUUCACCAUCAACAUAAUUGUAUGCACUCUAUUUCAACUUAAAUUGCCUGUAUAUCUCUUGAACCUGAAAGCACAGUCCCUGCUGCUUGUUAAAAGAAGGCGCACAACCUCCUUUUGCUUUUGGUCUGGAGUCUGGACUUAUAGCUUUUGUAAUAUAUUUAUCCCAACUUUGUGUAAAUCCUUACUAUUCAUUAAAUGGGUGUGAAGAAGAUGUCUAUCAAGGCAGAAAAGUAGAUAAUGCAUAUGUGAGCUGUGCAUGUUUUGUGCUUUAAGUGCAGUCGUGAGUUUUGAAGUUUGCUAUAUGCUUCCAGUGAGGGUGAGAAGCUAGAUAUGUGGCAAACUGCUACUGUUUUUCUCAGUUGUUUCCCCCUCCCCCUAAAGAACAUUAGGCUACGUAUUAAAUAAUGUUUAAUUUUUUGGUAUAUUUUACAUGUGAUAUUUGCUUAGUUUUUACUUGGGCAUAAUAAAUCCAGACUUAAUUCCUAUGUUGAAUCCCAAUAUUAGCAAACAUAAUAUCAAACUUAAUUGGAUGCGGAACAAAGUUGAACAAAGUUGGUUUUUGCAAAAAGGCAUAUACAUGUAUAUAUAUGUAUUAAUUUCAAAAUAUCAGUUAUUUGAAAGUCUAAUUUGUGGCUAAACUUAGUUUCUUAAGUUUAUACAUUUAAUUAUUGCACGGGCAUCUUAAAACCAGAGACUUUCUCACUAAUCCAAAGUUUACACAUUAAAAGGUUCACAACCGUACCUUGAAAAUGCAAGCUUGAGGUUUUAUUUCAUUUGGCGUCUCCCGGUCAACCACAUUAAAUGUAAUCAUUAUAGGAACUUUUGCUGCUGACUGUAACGGUAUUCCACUGUCCACCUGUAUACCCCUGACAAGCUUGUUAGGAGCAGUUGGUAAAUAAAGGUCCUCUCCCUGCACUUCAGUUUUUUCCAACUCCCUGUCGUCGCAAGUUCAUAGAAACAUCAACAGCAAGAUACAAAAUAUAAAGAAGAAGAUUUAAAAGCAUUAACUCAAGUAUACCUCCGAAUACCAGCUCGACGUUCUUCCUUAGGAAUUGGAUAGAGAACACCAGAAAUAGAUGUGACUUUGUCAAAGAAGUCAAAUUCCCUUUGAAAUAUGUCAAGGGCCUUUCCAGCGAAACCAUCAAUAAUAUGUUGUCGAACAAUUGGUAACAGCGCUUGAAAGGAACUAUUCUGAAAUAACAGUAAGUAUAUGUUUGGUUAUUGGGCAUUGAAUAGCAUUUGACAGAUAAUGAUCUACCAAUCUACAGAUAGAUACAUAAGAUACACAUAUGCACAGAGCCACAGACAUACAUUGCAACACAAUGUUUAAGUCAUGAUGUCUAGUCGCAAAUAGGUAAACAGUAACACAAUUCAGAUUGCAAAUUUUAACUGUAGAAUAUGGCAUGUGAUUGUAUUGUUUUUGAGUGUGUUACAUUUAUAUAUUUUUCAGCUCUAUCACCCUCCAAUCCAUGUGCACGUAACAUAGUGUUUCCAAUUCACAUAUAAUUGAUAACACAAGGAUGCUGCUAAGUCAUAACAUUUUACAAAGAGUUGAAAAAAAAAAAUCAAAAUAUAUUGAUAUAAGACUCUGCAUAAACUUAAUUGUUCUUUAAUGACAAAAUAUGAGAGGGAAGCACUGAGUCAGUAACAUGAUUCAAGGAAUUCAUUGUUCUGGCCAAAUUGAGAUGGCCAGAACUAUCGAACUAUCAAUUUCAUAAUCUUUUCAUUGUCAAGUUUUUGAUCGUGAAAAUCACUGUCGUUGUAGUAUAGUGGUGAGUAUUCCCGCUGUCACCCGGGUGAUCCGGUCCAAUCCCCGGCAACGGCGCAAAAAACUUGACAGUGAUUUUCGCAAGUGUACGAAAUUGCAACAAGUAAUAUAGAGUGAAAGAGUAUCGUAUCCACAGGGAUUGAAUAUCAAGUAAUAUAGGGAUUGUUAACCUAUUAUUAUUUAAACAACAAUAAGAGAGAUUUAUUAUAAGAAAAGAAAAAUCUAAAAUAAAACAGAAAGGAAUCAAGAAACAAUAUUUAGAUGUAAAGAAAUCAAGGGUUUAAAACUACUAGGGAUUUUGAUUUCACUUAAUUCUAUCCAAUUUAUUUUAUUAGUUUGUUAAUUAAAUUUGAUUGUUCAAAUAGGGGAAACAACCCUAAAAUCACUAAUAAGUUCUCCCGAUGUAUUGUUAGUUAUUCUAAUCCGGUCUAAUUGUCUAUCUUCCAAUAGCGCAAUCAAACAUGAAUUAAAUUAUUAAGUUUUAUAAUUUGUUUUGUGAAUUCAUAACCUGAGGUCAUUAACUUAUGAAAACCCCCAUAAGUCAAACCAUAUAGCUUCCGCAUCAAGUUAUUAUUCUCAUGUAGUUUAUUACCUUUUUCGUAUCUAAAACCCUUCUUCUGGUAGUGAUUAAUGAAAUAAAUCAAUCCAGAGGAGAAACUCUGUCUGGAAGCAUUAAGUUCAAUAAUAAAUUAUAUCAAGAACAAAGAACAGCAAAUCUAAUAUUAUAAAUUGGAAUCGAAUUAAGCUAUAUCAAAUCCCUAGGUGGCACGCCCUUGCUUCGAAGGCAGAACUGACAUGAACUAAAAAUGCAAAUCAAUCAUUUUCUCACAUGGGCCCACCUCGGAUAGUUUCUUAAACAUACUAAAUAAGAUCUAGACUUAUUUUGGAAGAGAAAAGAGUCCGAAUUAAGAAGAAAUCCAAGGCCUAAAUAGUCAUGAUCUCCUAAAGAAGAUUUUGUACUUAAUAAGGAUUCUAUUUCCUAAACGGAGUCAGAUUUACCUUCAGGAGGUCUAUAUAAAGAGGGAAACUUUUCAUUGAUUGGUAUCUCGAAAUUUAGUAUUUUUCUAUAUAGUUCUCUCUCUCUCAAAGGUCUCAAGGAAACCAUAUACAUAACUGUUACCUAGUUCUUAUCUCUAAACUCUUAAUAUUAUUUUUCUUUUCAUUGUUCAUCACUGAUUAUGAAGAAUUAUUCAAGUAUUAUUGAGUUUUAUUUACUUACUAUGUCUAGCUAAAUUCUUAUACUAGGGAUUUGAUGUAACUUAAUUUGAAUCUAAUUUAUAAUAUUAGAUUUGUUUUCAUUGUUCUUGUUAUAAUUUAUUAAUGAGCUUAAAGCUUCCAGGCAGAGUUUCUCCCCUGGAUUGAAUUAUUUCAUUAAUCACUAUCGGGAGAAGGGUUUUUGAUAUGAAAAAGGUAAUAAAUUACUUGAGAAUAAUAACUUUAUGCGGAAUCUAUAUGGUUUGGCUCAAGGGGGUUUUCAUAAGUUAAUGAUCUUAAGUUAUGAAUUCACAAAACAACCAUAAAACUUAAUGAUUUAAUUUAUGUUUGAUUGCGCUAUUGGAAGAUAGGUAAUUAUAGUAGAUUAGAACAGCCAACAAUCCUCAAUUUAAUUAGUUUGAAUCGAGUAUUCAAUUAAUUUAUCUCAUGUUGAUCCUCAAUUUAACUAGCUUAAAUCAUCUUUAUGGAAACCUUCACUUAAGAAGAGAUGCGCACUAUAGGCUCUUCGGCCCUAUAGUGUCCAUAGAGCUCCUUCCCUACGGAGACAUCAGCCCCUCUUCAUAGAGCACGAUGCCCGCACCUAGCUCACUAGGGCUCGGUCCCGCAUACCGGCCCCGGGGCAGAGGAGAGCAUUACGCCGGGUCUCUCCUCUCAUAUUCUCGGUCCAUAUGCCAUUCAAGAUGUUAUUCUCGUCUCUAAUAGCCUUAUUUCAUCCAUAGGGUCACCAUGGUAAGGCACCAUGGAUAGGGAUGCUGAGUAUAAAUAAUACUGUGAAUUGAAUUUUUUUGUUUUUAGAAAAUUGUAGAUUAAAUUAUUAGUACAAUUACUAGUAUAAUUGAAAUGCUUGUUUUAUAAUUAAAUCCCUGCAAACCACCUACAAUUUCACUUUUAAGAAAUUCUUGUGUAAAAUUUUUAAUUUAUUAAUGUAAAUUGUUUAUAAUAUUAUACUAAAAAUUAAUAAAAAGUUAUAUAUAAAAAUUAAAUUACAUUUACACGAGAAAACUAUUAAUAAAAAAAAUACAAUGAAUAUACACAUGCUGCCCAUGUGACUAGUUAUAAUAUUAAGACAGGCGGUAAUUUAUAAAAUAAAAUGAAAAUCCAACAGGUUAACAGGUCACCCAAAUUGAUAAUACAUUAAAUUUUUUUUAUUUAAAAAAAAAAGUAAAAAAAAAAGGGAAGAAAGAAAAAGCCAGGCCUUGUUGUCUAUUUAAGCAGGUCCAGUUUCUCAUGGAGCUGCAGACUCAUUAAAAACACUCUCUGUCUCUCUUUCUUGUUAUCAGUUAAGCUAAAGAGAGAUGAGCGCUUUAAACACAGCAGAGAAGGAUGUUGCGCUUGGUUGUGCUGUUUUGGCUUCCAUGACUUCUAUCUUACUUGGUUAUGGUGAGUUCUUUUUUUCUACUAAAAACCAUUUUUUAGUUUUAUCUCCAUUUAUAUAUUUCUUUGACUAUAAAGAAUUAAGAAACAAGAAAUGGAUUCCAAGCUUUGAAUUGUAAUGAUUUGGUUAUAUAUAUAUAUAUGUGUGUAUGAUUUUGUAGAUAUUGGAGUGAUGAGUGGAGCGGCUAUCUACAUCAAAGAUGAUCUGAAAAUCUCUGAUUUACAAGUAGAAGUUCUGGUGGGAACACUUAACAUAUACUCAUUAGUUGGUUCAGCAGCAGCUGGCCGGACCUCCGACUGGAUAGGGCGGCGGUAUACUAUAGUGGUGGCUGGAGCUAUUUUCUUUGUGGGAGCUCUUCUAAUGGGAUUUGCCACAACUUAUGCGUUUCUGAUGGUAGGGCGGUUUGUUGCCGGGAUUGGUGUCGGCUAUGCUCUUAUGAUUGCACCGGUUUAUACUGCUGAAGUGUCUCCGGCUUCCUCUCGUGGAUUUCUCACUUCAUUUCCUGAAGUACGUAUACAUUAAUAUAUUAUAUAAUAUAGUUCUUAUCAUUUUAUAUAUUAUCUUUGAAAAACUAUAAAUUUUUUAAUUCUGAAAAUAGAUUUAUAUUUUAUGUUGGGACAAGUUUACUUGAAUACUAUGAGAUGUUAAAAAGAGAAAAAAAAAUCUUUUAUUUAAAAAUUUCAUCUUUAAAACAAAUAAACCAAAAGUGUUAUAUUUAAAAUGCAUAUAAAUAAUUUAAUACAUUACACCAAAAAUAGCUUAUAAUAAUAUUAUAAUACUUAAUAAAUAAAAACAUUUGCAUUCAUUAUUAAUUAACGGCGUUUUUUAAUUCACAGGUGUUCAUUAACGGCGGGAUCUUGCUCGGCUACGUAUCAAACUUUGCAUUCUCAAAGCUUCCAACUCAUUUGAGUUGGCGGUUCAUGCUUGGAAUCGGUGCAGUUCCUUCAGUUUUCCUUGCUCUAAUUGUCCUUGUCAUGCCCGAGUCACCUCGUUGGCUCAUUCUGCAAGGCCGACUCGGUGAAGCCAAGCGAGUCCUGGACAGGACCUCCGACUCCAAAGAAGAAUCUGAAGCAAGACUCGCCGAUAUAAAAGAAGCCGCAGGUAUUCCUCAAGAUUGCAACGACGACAUCGUUCAAGUGCAAAAACAAUCCCAUGGUGAAGGUGUAUGGCGGGAAUUACUCCUCCAUCCUACACCGUCCGUUCGCCAUAUCUUAGUUUGUGCGAUCGGGAUUCACUUCUUCCAACAAGCUUCGGGUAUAGACGCUGUCGUAUUAUACAGCCCCAGAAUAUUUGAAAAGGCCGGGAUCACAUCAGAUGAUAAUAAGUUACUUGCAACUGUAGCCGUUGGAUUUGUUAAGACAAUGUUCAUUUUAGUGGCUACGUUUUUCCUAGACAGGAUCGGACGGCGACCGUUGCUCCUAGCAAGUGUUGCUGGAAUGAUAUUUUCGUUAGCGACCCUUGGAUUUUCGUUGACCAUUAUAGAUCAUUCGCACGAUAAGCUAACAUGGGCUAUAGUAUUGUGUAUAACAAUGGUAUUAGCCUACGUGGCAUUUUUCUCAAUAGGGAUGGGCCCCAUCACAUGGGUGUAUAGUUCUGAGAUCUUUCCGUUGAGGCUACGCGCUCAAGGCGCGAGUAUGGGAGUGGCUGUGAACAGAGUAACAAGUGGGGUCAUAUCUAUGACUUUUAUUUCACUGUACAAAGGAAUAACAAUAGGAGGGGCGUUUUUUCUGUUCGCGGCUAUAGCAACGGUAGCGUGGACCUUCUUCUUUACUUGUUUGCCCGAGACGCAAGGAAGGACAUUGGAGGAUAUGGAGGUCCUUUUUGGUAGAUUCAUUAAUUGGAGGUCUGCUUUGAAGGAGGAGAACUUGAAGAAGAAAGCAGCUAAUAGUGAAAAUAAUGGUCAAAUUCAGUUGGGUACUGCUACUAAUACUAUUGUUACUAAAGCUUAGUUGAAGGAUAUUUUGGUAAAUCUACCUACUUGAAAUGUUUGAUUAGUUUUUUUUUUUUUUUCUUGUUUUUGUGGGAUUUCACUUGUUCUUACCUUAGUCGGGUGAGAUUCAGCCAAGAAAUGUUUGAAAUAUGAAAAUAUGGAAAGCUUAUAUGCAAGAAAAAUAAAUCCAACAAAAACUCAAUUAAGAAGAAAGAGAUAGUAUUCUGUAUAUUUUUUAAAUCAAAUCAAAUUAAAUAAUGUAUCGAAUCAAUUCAGUUGAUUUGAGCUAAUUUGGUUAUUUUUUAGCCGUUGUACAACUAUUUUAAGUUUAAUGGUUUAGGUUUAUAAAAAUCAAAUUGAAUCGAAAAUUUUUAAUUUUUUAAUGAAAACUUAAAUCCAUUCCACAUACCAUUUUUACCUUGUUCUACUUUUGUAAUAAGAUUAAAUGGGAAAGUUUUAAUUUUAAGAAGGGCGAUGUAAAUAUUUCACAAUGUAUUUUUAGAAAAUCAAUAUGUUCCGACCAUUAUUUUAAUUCUUGUAAAAAGAUAAAAUGCUAUUAUUAAAUGUGGAAAAACCGAAAAGGAUUUUGCUUGCUUACAAGUGGUGGCUGUUUAUAUUUUAAUGUUGUGGUCAGCAACAACUUUUUUAAUAGCUUUGCUAAACGUAAUUUUUUAUAAUAUUCAGUAAUAUGAUUUUUGAACUAACUUUUAGAGAUUAAUAUAGCGUUUUUAUAAAAAGUUAACUCAUAUUACGUUUAGUUUUCAGCAUUUCAUAAAAAAUUACUCGAAUAGCUAACAAUUAAAUGUUAUUAAAACAAUUAACAGCUAUAAAAAAAAGCUAAUUUUAUCGAAUAGACCUCUACUAUUUCUUUUUUUUUUUUUUCUUUUCUUGUAUGUAUGACCAAAGAAUUUGGUUUAUUGUAUGCAUGAGGUUGGCCAAUGGCCUACUUAGUUUGUUGCAAUUUGGAAGAAGUGGUCCAAUAUUGGGUUGAAUCCGACUAGUAAAAUUACUUGUAAAUCGACUCCUAAAAGGACCUUACAAUAUUUCUUUUUUGUUUUCUUUCAAAUAUUUUUUUUAAAAAAUAAUGUAAUUAAAUCUUGAUGUAGUUGUUUGCCAUUUGUGUCCUAAAUUCCACGUGUGAGUCUUGUCUUGAAUCCAGGAGCUAUGGUCCAUGCAUAAUUAAAUAAUGUGUAUGAGAAUCUGACAACUCGAUUAUAACUCAUCCUCGUUUGAUCAAAUCUCCAGAGAGAAGGGACCCCCAAAUUGCUAAUUAUAAUAAAUCCACUAGAGAACUUUAAGAGUGGGUACUCGUCACUAAAAAAAAACGUUCAAUUGCGAUCGACCUAAAUCGGUAGCAGUUUUGCGACCGAUUUGCGACUUAUAAGCCAUCGGUCGCAAAUUUUGGCGCUGAAAAUUCCCGCGAGAGUGGUUAAUAAUUUGCGACCUGUGUACUACGGAUUUGCGACCGAUGUGAGACUAAGUGAUUUUCUGCAGUAAAAUUUCGCGCGUAAAAAAUGGGGCAAAGUUCUGAGACGAUUGGAGACUAAAUUGCGACUGAUUUUUUGCGACCGAUUUAUUUAGUCGCAAAUGGGUCGCAAAUAUUGUCCAUAGUCAAACGAUGUCGGCUCAUUAAAAAUUGCGACCGAUAAUUAUAAAAUUUGCAACCGAUGUUUCGGUCGCAAAAGUUAGGGCUUUAAACGCCGCGCCCUCUCUUUUUUCUUUCUUCUUCUUUCUCUCUUCUCCUUCUCCUCUCCUCUCCUCCGUCCGCAACGCCGCUCCGGCCCUUCCUGACACCGUUCCAGCCCGCCUGACGCCGCCAUUCUCGCUCCCUUUGCACUCCAGUCACUCUGUUUCGAAACAAUCUGAGGUUAGUUUUAUUUUGCAAUUAAUUUUUCGAAAUUUUUUUUCGAAUUUAUUUGUUUUUUAUUAUAUUAAUUUAUGGUUGAUUUUGUAUAUUGUUGUUAGAAUUUUGUAUAUGGUUGCGAUUAAUUUAUUUUGUAUAUGGUUGAGUUGCGAUUAGANNNNNNNNNNNNNNNNNNNNNNNNNNNNNNNNNNNNNNNNNNNNNNNNNNNNNNNNNNNNNNNNNNNNNNNNNNNNNNNNNNNNNNNNNNNNNNNNNNNNNNNNNNNNNNNNNNNNNNNNNNNNNNNNNNNNNNNNNNNNNNNNNNNNNNNNNNNNNNNNNNNNNNNNNNNNNNNNNNNNNNNNNNNNNNNNNNNNNNNNNNNNNNNNNNNNNNNNNNNNNNNNNNNNNNNNNNNNNNNNNNNNNNNNNNNNNNNNNNNNNNNNNNNNNNNNNNNNNNNNNNNNNNNNNNNNNNNNNNNNNNNNNNNNNNNNNNNNNNNNNNNNNNNNNNNNNNNNNNNNNNNNNNNNNNNNNNNNNNNNNNUUGGACGAGGUAUAGUUUAGUUGAUUUUUCAUUUAUUAUUUGGGAUCUUGCAAAAGCUGAUACCAAGCUUUUCCCUUUUAGACAUAUUGGAUUGAAUUUGAAAUCUAUUAUGACAUUGUAAUUGAAAUAUUCAAGCAUAAUCCAUUUUCAUAUAAAAGGUGCGUGUAAGGAAAUGGACAAGUCAUUUUAGGGGCUUUGUUGAGGAGAUUCUGAAUGGUACUUCAUAUGUGUCUUAUAUUAGGCAUGUGCACACAAAAUACAAAUUAUUAUUAUUUUUUUAUAUACUGAAACUACUUCAAAUGAACUCUACAUUUGGUUCUAGUGUCUAGUGGUUUCAUAAUUUGCAGUAAAAUUUUGUCAUGAAUGUAUUUGCCAGUGAUUUAAUGUUGAGCCGUUUGACAGGUUGAUGCAGCUCUUGAUUUAUGCCACACACAGAACAUAGGGAGAAUGAUCAAAGCUCACUUUCCACAUUCCCAGGUCAAAUAAUUUUCUUUUGAUGCACUUAGUGGCAAAGGGAAUAAUUUAGCAGCAAAUGUGNNNNNNNNNNNNNNNNNNNNNNNNNNNNNNNNNNNNNNNNNNNNNNNNNNNNNNNNNNNNNNNNNNNNNNNNNNNNNNNNNNNNNNNNNNNNNNNNNNNNNNNNNNNNNNNNNNNNNNNNNNNNNNNNNNNNNNNNNNNNNNNNNNNNNNNNNNNNCCUUUCGGACGAAAUUUGUAGAUGGUGUUUCAAUUGUCCAGAGGACUGUUGCUGCUAAGCAAAACAAGUGAUUGCUGCCACAUUAUCAGGUUUUAUUCUGUGUUACUUUGAUGGAAUUUUAUUAUUCGAUUCACAUGUUUUGAAUUAAUGUCCAGUAAUGCCUGGUUAGUCCAUCUAUUAUUAAUGUACCGUCACUAGUCAUAACACAGUUACUUAACCCAGUUCCAAAUUUUUGUAUUUUGUCUUUAAUUUGACAUCCNNNNNNNNNNNNNNNNNNNNNNNNNNNNNNNNNNNNNNNNNNNNNNNNNNNNNNNNNNNNNNNNNNNNNNNNNNNNNNNNNNNNNNNNNNNNNNNNNNNNNNNNNNNNNNNNNNNNNNNNNNNNNNNNNNNNNNNNNNNNNNNNNNNNNNNNNNNNNNNNNNNNNNNNNNNNNNNNNNNNNNNNNNNNNNNNNNNNNNNNNNNNNNNNNNNNNNNNNNNNNNNNNNNNNNNNNNNNNNNNNNNNNNNNNNNNAGAGCAAUAAUCUGCAUCUAACUAUUCCUCAUUAAUUAUUCCUACAUAAUCUGACAAGUCUCAAAAAUAGCAAAGCCAUUCAAGUAUUUCCUCCAUCCUCAGUUCUGUAAAUAUAUAUUAAUGCUUUCAUAAUAGUGAAAAGCAUAAAGUUGGAAAAGAAGAUAAGUCUUCUCAAAUGACAAACAAAAUAGGGAAAAAGAAAGCUAGGAAUGGUAAACUGAGGAAUGUCAAAUUAAAGACAAAAUACAACAAUUUGCGACCAAUUUGCGACAGACUUUUUUUGCAACUAAUUUGCGACAGCAUUUGCACAUGAAAACACGACCAAAUUUUGCGAUCGAUUUUUUAAUUUUGCGACCGAAAAAUCGGUCGCAAAUUUGCGACCGACGGAAAAAAUCGAUCGCAAAAUAUUUUGCGAUAAGAAUUUUUGCGACCGACGUGUUUUGGUCGCAGAUAGGGCGCUAAUUGAAUUUAGCGACCGAUUUUUUGGCAUUUUGCGACCGAUUUGUCGAUCGCAAAAUGCCGUUUUUUUUGUAGUGCGUGUGAUUAGGCAUGACUUAUCUAUCAUCUCACCAAUUAACAGCCACCGACCAGAAUAUGAUGAAACCACACUUUAAGCAUAGAAAUAGAAUUAUCGGGCACUUGCCCUUAAAUUUGAUUGCAAUAAAUAAUAUAUUUAAAAUUUUACUUUUGGAUUAAUUUUAAUAAAAAAUUUUCAAUUAUGAAUUUUUAAUUGAUUAUUGCUUAAUCUUCUAAUUAGAACUACAGAUAUCCUGAGAGAGAAUCUGACUCCGUUUAGAAAAUAGAAUCCUUAUUCAAUACGAAAUCUUCUUUGGAGAUCAUAAACUGAUUAGGCUAAGGAUUUCUUCUUAGUUAAGACUCUUCUUUCUUCCUAAAUAGACUUAGAUCAUGUUUUGCACGUUUAGGAACAUAUCUGAGGUGGGCCCAUGUGAAUUAAAAAGACUGGAUUGCGUUUUUAUUCAAAAUAGCUUCGCCUUAGUAGCACGGGCGUGUCAUAUAGCACGGCUUGGGCGUGCUAGAGUCUGGACCUCUGAAUGAUUCAGCAUGGGCCGUGCUAUGUAACACGCUUAGAGGAGUUUCUAUGGUACGGGCAUGCUCCCUAGCACGGACAGGGCGUGCUAGGCUCUAACUCUCUAAGGUAGAUUGCAUUACGGGCGUGCUAAGUAAACACGCCCUGAGGUUCUUUAGGCACAGACGUGUUAGAUAGCAUGGGCUGGUCGUGUAAGCGUCUGACUCUCCACUUGAUUUCUCUUAAGUUUAGCACGGGCGUGUCGGAUAGCACGGGCUGGCCGUGCUCGUGUCUGACUCUCCACUUGAUUUCUCUUAAGUUUAGCACGGGCGUGUCGGAUAGCACGGGCUGGCCGUGCUAGUGUCUGACUCUCCACUUAAUUUUCCUUAAAUUUAGCACGGGCGUGCUAAGGUGCACAGACUGGGUGUGCUCGAGCUUUAGUGUUUUGCUUUUUAAUACUCUUUUCUGUGCCAAAAUCCUGCAAAUUUUUUUAAGAUUAAGUGAAUUAUGAUUCAAGGGAGUUUGAACAAAAUUAUAAUUAAAAUGAAGUAAAACUUAAUUAAAGUGAUAAAUUUAAUAAAAAUUCUAAAUAAAACUAUACUAAAAAUACUAUAAAAAUGAUACCUAUCAUUCCUUAUUUGCUGAACGGUAUACAUGUUGUGUUUGAAUAUUUUAAUCAAAACUUUGGUUUGCUGUGCAAUUCUUAAAUUAAAAUAUGAUUUCAGUUUUUGGUGAAUAUAAAUUUUAUAAUAUGUCAAAUUUUGAAUAUUUUUUAAAUUUACUCUUGUAAUUACUAGAUUAAUAUAAUCUUUGGUAGCUUCUUCCUCAUUUUAGUUAUAUUGAAAUUAUAUUACAAUAUUAAUUUUUUUUUCAUUUCAAUAUAAUUUAAUUUUUAAUUAUUAAUAAAUCCAUUGUUAUAAAAUUGAGUUUAUGAUAUAAAGCCAACUAAAAAAAUUACAAGGUGUUUCUUAUAAAAUCCAUUUGUUGAAUUUAAGAUUUUAAGGUGGUUCUUUUGACUGGUCUAACUUAAUAAAAUAAUAAUUAAUAAUACGUAAGUCAGUAACGUAACUGACAUGCAUAUUCACUAAAUGAGUAAAUAUUGUAUUAGUAGCAUUUUUCAAAAAAUUUGACCAAUUUUACUAUAUUAUAAAUAUAAUUUUAUCAAUUUUUAAAAUAAAAAUAUAAAUUAAAAAUAAAAUAAAUUUUAAUUUACAUCGCGUCGAUUCUCAAUUUAAAUAAUUUUAAUCGAAUAUUCAAUUAAAUUAUCUCAUAUUGAUCCUCAAUUUAACUUGCUUGAAUCAUCGAUUAUAAAUAAUAUUGUGAAUUGAUUUUUUUUUUUUUUAGAAAAUUGUAGAUUAGAUUAUUAGUAGAAUUACUAGUCUAAUUGAAAUGCUUGUUUUAUAAUUAAAUCCCUGCAAACCACGUACAAUUUCUCUUUUAAGAAAUUCUUGUGUAAAAUUUUUAAUUUAGUAAUGUAAAUUGUUUAUAAUAUUGUAAUAAAAAUUAAUAAAAAAUUAUAUAUAUAAAUUAAAUUACAUUUACAAGAGAAAACUAUUAAUAAAAAAAAUACAAUGAAUAUACACAUGCUGGCCAUGUCACUAGUUAUAAUAUUAAGACAAGCUGUAAUUUAUAAAAUAAAAUGAAAAUCCAACCAUUUUAAUCGGAUCAACAGGUUACCAGGUCACCCAAAUUGAUAAUACAUUAAUUUUUUUAUUUAAAAAAAAAAGUAAAAAAAAAAAAGGGAAGAAAGAAAAAGCCAGCCCUUGUUGUCUAUUUAAGCAGGUCCAGUUUCUCAUGGAGCUGCAGAACCCGGAGUUCUGCUCUCCUAAUAUGGCUGCUUGAGUUUAUCCAAAUCAACCUUAACAAACGCUAACACAGCCAUUUCAAAACACUCUCUGUCUCUCUUUCUUGCUAUCAGUUAAGCUAAAGAGAGAUGACUGCUUUAAACACAGCAGAGAAGGAUGUUGCAAAUCCCAGCAACUACCAAAACCAAACAGAGAAAAGACUUGCAGACUUCGAUCCUCCAAAGAAACCCAAAAGUAAUAAAUUUGCUCUUGCUUGUGCUGUUUUGGCUUCCAUGACUUCUAUCUUACUUGGUUAUGGUGAGUUCUUUUUUUCUACUAAAAACCAUUUUUUAGUUUUAUCUCCAUUUAUAUAUUUCUUUGACUAUAAAGAAUUAAGAAACAAGAAAUGGAUUCCAAGCUUUGAAUUGUAAUGAUUUGGUUAUAUAUAUAUAUAUAUAUAUAUAUAUGAUUUUGUAGAUAUUGGAGUGAUGAGUGGAGCGGCUAUCUACAUCAAAGAUGAUCUGAAAAUCUCUGAUUUACAAGUAGAAGUUCUGGUGGGAACACUUAACAUAUACUCAUUAGUUGGUUCAGCCGCAGCUGGCCGGACCUCCGACUGGAUAGGGCGGCGGUAUACUAUAGUGGUGGCUGGAGCUAUUUUCUUUGUGGGAGCUCUUCUAAUGGGAUUUGCCACAACUUAUGCGUUUCUGAUGGUAGGGCGGUUUGUUGCCGGGAUUGGUGUCGGCUAUGCUCUUAUGAUUGCACCGGUUUAUACUGCUGAAGUGUCUCCGGCUUCCUCUCGUGGAUUUCUCACUUCAUUUCCUGAAGUACGUAUACAUUAAUAUAUUAUAUAAUAUAGUCCUUGUCAUUUUAUAUAUUAUCUUUAUUUAUCACUUUGAAAAACUAUAAAUUUUUUAGUUCUGAAAAUAGAUUUAUAUUUUAUGUUGGGACAAGUUUACUUGAAUACUAUGAGAUGUUAAAAAAAGAAAAAAAAAAUCUUUUAUUUAAAAAUUUCAUCUUUAAAACAAAUAAACCAAAAGUGUUAUAUUUAAAAUGCAUAUAAAUAAUUUAAUACAUUACACCAAAAAUAGCUUAUAAUAAUAUUAUAAUACUUAAUAAAUAAAAACAUUUGCAUUCAUUAUUCAUUAACGGCGUUUUUUAAUUGACAGGUAUUCAUUAACGGCGGGAUCUUGCUCGGCUACGUAUCAAACUUUGCAUUCUCAAAGCUUCCAACUCAUUUGAGUUGGCGGUUCAUGCUUGGAAUCGGUGCAGUUCCUUCAGUUUUCCUUGCUCUAAUUGUCCUUGUCAUGCCCGAGUCACCUCGUUGGCUCAUUCUGCAAGGCCGACUCGGUGAAGCCAAGCGAGUCCUGGACAGGACCUCCGAUUCCAAAGAAGGAUCUGAAGCAAGACUCGCCGAUAUAAAAGAAGCCGCAGGUAUUCCUAAAGAUUGCAACGACGACAUCGUUCAAGUGCAAAAACAAUCCCAUGGUGAAGGUGUAUGGCGGGAAUUACUCCUCCAUCCUACACCGUCCGUUCGCCAUAUCUUAGUUUGUGCGAUCGGGAUUCACUUCUUCCAACAAGCUUCGGGUAUAGACGCUGUCGUAUUAUACAGCCCCAGAAUAUUUGAAAAGGCCGGGAUCACAUCAGAUAAUAAGAAGUUACUUGCAACUGUAGCCGUUGGUUUUGUUAAGACAAUGUUCAUUUUAGUGGCUACGUUUUUCCUAGACAGGAUCGGACGGCGACCGUUGCUCCUAGCAAGUGUUGCUGGAAUGAUAUUUUCGUUAGCGACCCUUGGAUUUUCGUUGACCAUUAUAGAUCAUUCGCACGAUAAGCUAACAUGGGCUAUAGUAUUGUGUAUAACAAUGGUAUUAGCCUACGUGGCAUUUUUCUCAAUAGGGAUGGGCCCCAUCACAUGGGUGUAUAGUUCUGAGGUCUUUCCGUUGAGGCUACGCGCUCAAGGCGCGAGUAUGGGAGUGGCUGUGGGCGGAGUAACAAGUGGGGUCAUAUCUACGACUUUUAUUUCACUGUACAAAGGAAUAACAAUAGGAGGGGCGUUUUUUCUGUUCGCGGCUAUAGCAACGGGAGCGUGGACCUUCUUUUUUACAUGUUUGCCAGAGACACGAGGAAGGACAUUGGAGGAUAUGGAGGUCCGUUUUGGUAGUUUCAUUAAUUGGAGGUCUGCUUUGAAGGAGGAGAACUUGAAGAAGAAAGCAGCUAGUAGUGAAAAUGAUGAUCAGAUUCAGUUGGGUACUGCUACUAACACUACUGUUACUAAAGCUUAGUUGAAGAAUAUUUUGGUAAAUCUAC
Molecule: long non-coding RNA, 21689 nt
Filed under: Jatropha curcas
Lineage: Eukaryota; Viridiplantae; Streptophyta; Magnoliopsida; Malpighiales; Euphorbiaceae
Description: long non-coding RNA (JCUR_LNC000130)
Source: RNAcentral